UGAGGAAUAUUGCGCAAUGGGCGAAAGCCUGACGCAGCGACGCCACGUGAGCGAUGAAGUCUUUAGGGAUGUAAAGCUCUGUCAAGAGGAACGAUUAUGACGGUACCUCUAAAGGAAGCCCCGGCUAACUACGUGCCAGCAGCCGCGGUAAUACGUAGGGGGCAAGCGUUAUCCGGAAUCAUUGGGCAUAAAGAGCGCGUAGGCGGUAGUUUAAGUCAGAUGUUAAAUACUUCAGCUCAACUGAAGCACGCAUUUGAAACUGAAUUACUAGAGUUUAGUAGAGGAAAGCGGAACUCACGGUGUAGCGGUGAAAUGCGUAGAUAUCGUGAGGAACACCAGUUGCGAAGGCGGCUUUCUGGACUAAUACUGACGCUGAGGUGCGAAAGCGUGGGGAGCGAACGGG
Molecule: ribosomal RNA, 403 nt
Filed under: uncultured bacterium
Lineage: Bacteria
Description: bacterial SSU rRNA
Rfam family: Bacterial small subunit ribosomal RNA
Source: RNAcentral